This is an RNA transcript of Haliotis rubra (blacklip abalone), 5184 nucleotides long. It is a transcript of the gene named zinc finger protein 57-like, with no coding region annotated. The record is from RefSeq and is a predicted model, not a curated record. The transcript is spliced from 4 exons. Lineage: Eukaryota; Metazoa; Mollusca; Gastropoda; Lepetellida; Haliotidae.
CUCUCUGUGCCGACGCCCGGGAAUACGGCAAUCCACGUGUCAUUUCCAGCAAGCGCAGCCCCGAGCUUCAAUGUCACACUCGACAACAAUGGCGUUGUGAAUAAUAAAUUUAGCGCGCACCUGUAUCAAGGUUUACAACCGUUAAGAAUUGUCCUACCGCUAAAACAAAGAGGGAAGAAGACCGGUUGAAAAUGGCGUGGAGUCUCAUUUGCAUAAAGGCCCAGAAAUAGCUAAAUGUAUGAGCUCUGAAACCUGAAAACCUGUUCGCUGCUGACACUUUUGAAGUGAGACUUUUAUAUAUUCUAGAGGAAAGGACAACAAGUGUAUUCUGCAACAAUGUUUAUCGAAACGCUGGAGUUCACUAUUCCAAUAGAUCUGUGUGACCUAUUUUCCACUUUGAAGAAGGGGCCAAGAUCAAAUCUUGAAUUCCCAGCGUCAGUGAACUCAUAUGGUACAACGCAAGACGCCAGCAUUCAGGUGGCGUUAAGAUCAAAUAAAUUGACGUUCAAAGUGGACGGUGUGUCGUCUGAUGCAAGUAUGAUAUCUAAGAGUGAGUGUAAAACAUUAAAACUGUCCAUAUUUGAUGUGGAUCGCACACUAAUGCCUCAGGAAAGUUACUAUCAUGAAGAACCCACACAUUCAGUUUCUAUGUCGUUUCCUGCCAAAAGAUCACGAGACUUUUCUGCUCCAGUGAAAUCACCUCCAUCAAAGAGCAGUAGAACUACUUAUUCAGAAUCCCCAAGGGGAAAUACACCAGUUCAGUAUCAUCAUCAGAAUAAUUCUCGUACCUCAGAACAGUCGCAUUCUAGACCUUCAAGUGACUCUCGUGUUAAUGUGAAACAAGAACCAGAAGAUCCAGAUUUAAUAGAAAUAGAACCAGACCCUGAACCUGACGACAUUGUGCCAAAGAAAGAGACGCCAUACAUGCAAAUAGAUUAUUCAUCCGAUGUACCUCAUACACAAACGUCCCAAGCAGCUUUAGAUCGACUCUCUCAUCCACAAUCAUCACAUUCUCAAUCACCCGGUUCUUCAUCAUCGUCCUUCCAUCAAAACGUUCCACAUGUGCCAGAUUACGCCGAACCCAGUACUAGUCAAGUUCAUCAUGGUGACCAAAGUGCAGAUGACUUUUUUAGUAUUCCAAGAACAAGACGAUAACGACUGUGAUAACGACAAUGAUGCAGAUUUUGACAAUGAAGGAAAAUAUGCUGUGGCUACUGCAGUUAGGCAUUUGAGUCAUUUCCGUCAUCCUGGACAGGAUCAGUUUUGUUACCCUGGUAGACCAUUUAGUGCCAGCAGUGACAGAUCAGUUGGAGGCACCGCCUUGAAGCAGUACCCAUGUCCACAAUGUGACAAGGUCUUUGCUAAUUAUGGCUCCCGGUGGCAUCACAUUUCUGCCAUUCACAAGAAAGUCACCUACUCGUGUGUUUGUGGGAAGUUUUACAGUUAUAAGCACAAUUUGCUCUCUCAUCAGAGAUCCUGUGUGCAGUGUUUCAAACAGUGAGAAUAGGAAUUUCCAUGGGAGGACCUUUGUGUCAGGAAAAUGGACAAUGGUUUCUUGAAUACCUCAAACUAACUCCUUGUUCAGGUUCCACAACAGCUUCAUUCUGGGAUGUUCUCAGUAGUCCUGAGUGGUCAGUCUUCACUAGAGUUAGUUUGACAUUCACCAGUUGAGGUUUUGUUAUCAAGAUUUUUCAAUUGUAUGGGUAUGUUAGAGAAUGUUUUGUGGAUUCCGCUAGAACACUCUCUUCUUUGUUGUUUCAGGAGGAUUUUGUCAUGGUGAUAUGACGACCUUUCAGCAAGGUCAUCCAUUCGUAAAAGGACCCGGUCAGCUUCUCAACCUGUUCACUCAUAGACUCCCUAUUACCAAUAGGAUGGCAAAUCCUCCUCCAGCAGAGACAAAACAGUUUCCCUGCCCACAGUGCACUAAGGUCUUCAAUAACCAUGGUUCUCGAUGGCAUCACAUUGCAGCUAUCCACAAGAAAAUAACCUUCACAUGCUUGUGUGGAAAGGUGUACAGCUACAAACACAAUCUUCUGUCCCACCAAAGGUCUUGUUCUGCUUGUUUGAAGUUGUAGCUUACUCUGGUUGAGUUCAUUGAUGGAGAAACAAUUCUGGUUUGAAAAUUCCAAGGCUGGGGUGAUUUCAUGGAGAGACACUUGAGUUUGUUGUUUGUUAUUUUUUGUUACGGGAGAUAAAUGAUUUUAGUUCCGUGAGCCAUGUGUGGCUGAUUUUAAGACUGUUGAUUCUGUUUGUGUUCGCAGAGACUUUAAUUAACAAAACUGAACUGAUGGUGUUCAUGUUUACUUUUGAAUCUGCCUGUGUUUAUGGUUCUUUGGGACUAUAGAUUUUGUUCUUGUUCAGGGUGAUCUCACACUUUUUCUGCAUUCUACCUCAGUUAUAAUCAAACUGUUCAAGAUGUCUGCAUCUCUUGGUCAGACGAACUGGAACGAAGUUUUCUUCAUGUUAUCAUAAAAAUAUGAUAUCAGAUAUCAGAUUUAUGCUCAUUUUGGCUGAGGCCCAUCAUGGUCAAACUUGAAGUUAUCCAAUUAUUGGUACAUUUACUUCCAGAAUCAAACUGAUUUCAAAUCACCUUCCAAACUCUUUCCACGUUCACAGCGAUAAAAUGUUCACUUCUAAAGGAUCACAAUGGCAUCAAGUCACAGCAAUUCAUAAAAAAAGAUGACUUUUGAAUGUGUCUGUGGAAAGUCAUAUUGCUACAAGUCAAAUGUAUUGGCUCACCAUAGGUCUUGUUAUGCCUGUUUGAAUGUCAACCAGACGUUGCUCACUUCCUUGGAGAAGAGUUUUGUGGCUUUAGUUGUAGGAGUCCUAAUCAAUGGAACAUUGUGUCAUCCACACACAUCCCAACAGCUCUACCUCAGUAGUAAUCAAACUGUUCAAGAUGUCUGCAUCUGAUGAACUAGAACAAACUUUUCUUUAUGUUUUCAGGAAAAUAUGAUGGCUGUGAUGUCGUGGACAUGAGCACAUUUUGGCAAGAGGCCCAUCAUAUGCCGAACUUACAGUUAGCCAAUUUUAGGAAUAGAAACUUUCAGACUCAUACUAGUUCCAAAUCACCGUCAAAACUCUUUCCAUGUUCACAGUGUGACAAAGUGUUUGCGAAUAAAGGAUCACGUUGGCAUCAUGUUACUGCAAUUCAUAAAAAGAUAACAUUUGAAUGUGUGUGUGGAAAGUCUUAUAGCUACAAACAUGGGCUCUUGUUUCAUCAGCGUACUUGUUGUAUUUCUCAGGGACAAACUAAGUAGGUAUUAAGUUGACCAGUCAUCUUGUUGCAGCUUCCUUUAAUGUUUGGGUUCAGUGGAUUGCAUAUCAGGAAAAAAUGGAUUCCAUCUGCUUUCCCACCUGUGUUCGUUUGUUAGUCCAAAACAAAUACUGACUCAUCAAACUUGUUUGCAUCUAAAUAGUGUAUUUUCGAAGCACGUGUCAUUCAUUUGAAUAAGAACAGGGUUUUCUUUGUGUUUUCAGAUAGUUUCGGUGGCAGUGGUGAACCUGGUGAUUUGAACAUCUUUCAUCGUGACCAUGUUAGCGGGUUUGCUCAGUUUUAUGUUAGGCCAAUGGUUGUAGGUGCUGCCAAGUCUUUUCCGUGUUUCGAGUGUGAUAAGGUGUUUGCAAGUCGCGGAUCCCGAUAUAAUCAUAUAGCUGCGAAACACAAGAACGUGAUCUAUCCAUGUGUUUGUGGCAAAGAAUUCAGCUAUAAACACCAUCUUUUAUCGCAUCAGAAAACAUGUCUGGACCUUCCAAAAACUUAGAAAGUGGCGUAGAGGGUGUCUUUGGAUACAUAGUUCCUGGUCAGGAGUCUGUUUCCAGUUCCUUUCUUGUUCACAGUGUGAUAAAGUGUCUGCAAAUAAAGGUUCACAUUGGAAUCAUGUUGCUGCAAUUCUUGAAGAAAUACAUGUGAUUGUGUCUGUGGAAAGUAGUACAGCAACAAACAUGGUCAGUUGUUUCAUCAGUGCACUUACUGUAUUUCAUGGAGAAAGUAAGCAGGUAUUGGGAUAGACAGACUUGGGUCCUUAUUGCCGUACCAUUUCAUCCAGUUAGAUUGGUUCCGUGUGUUCAUUUGUCAUGAUCACAAGGUUUGGCGUCCAUUUUCUAUCCCACCUCUGAGCAUUUUACUGUUUCGUCCAAUCACAACUCCUGACUUGUCCCACUUGUUAGUGCCUGGUUUUCUGCGAAAUUGGUAUCUUCAUUUGAAUAAGAACAGGAUUUUCUUUGUGAUUUCAGAUAGUUUCGGUGGCAGUGGUGAAGCUGGUGAUUUGAACAUCUUUCAUGCCGAGCAUGUUAGCGGGUUUGCUCAGUUUUAUGUUAGGCCAAGAUUAGCAGGUGCUGCCAAAUGUUUUCCAUGUUGUGAAUGUGGUAAAGUAUUUGCAAGUCAUGGAUCUAGAUGGAAUCACAUUGCUGCAAAACACAAGAACGUGACCCACCCAUGUGUUUGUGGGAAAGUAUUUAGCUAUAAACACCAUCUUUUAUCUCAUCAGAAAACAUGUCCGGAUUGCCAAAAGUAUUGAAGAUGGUCUUCCCCCAUGAGGAGUUGUUUGUUAAAGAGAUUGAUAAUCAGAUUUGAACAUUGUUAAUUUCUUUUGAUUUUCGUUCACAUGGUGAUCUUGUGAGCUUGGUGUAGCAGAGUUUUAGUUCAUUGAAAUCAUCUUUUGAAUGAAUGAUAAGGACAUUAUCAUAUCAUAACAUCAUGACUUGUUACAGCUGAAAAAUGAGGCACGUUUUUUAACUGAGAUCUGACAAUCCUGGACUAUGAAUAGUCACUGUUUGUUGUUGUUUUCCUGGAGGAAACUAUGUUUCAAAUAUGUACUUUGGUUUUGGGUAAGAUUGCAUUCUACCAUUAAAACUUCUACAUUAAAAGUCUUGCAGUGAACGGGAACUCAUGCAGAUGUCAUUCAGUGCACAGUUGUCAAACAUCUCUCAUUUACUACACAUUUCCAUUGUUUCUUGUGUUGGUGAAUGACGUUAAAUGUCAUGUGCUUUGUGAGAAUCCAAUUUUGUAUUGUUUCCUUGGUACUAAAGAUAUAUAGCAAGCAGUAUUGCAAACAAAUGAUCUGUAAAUACAAAGUUUAUGUUCAUGAAAGACCUGAGGCUCAAAUACAUUUGAUCAGCAGAGUUCAUGUUGAUUUUUGUAGUAUGUCUCAUAUUUGUUUCAUAAUAAAAUAUAAACAAUAA